Molecule: ribosomal RNA, 511 nt
Filed under: uncultured bacterium
Lineage: Bacteria
Description: partial 16S ribosomal RNA
Rfam family: Bacterial small subunit ribosomal RNA
Source: RNAcentral
GACAAACGCUGGCGGCAUGCCUAACACAUGCCAGUCGAACGGACAGAACAGGGAAGCUUUUCGGAGUGGAACUGGAAAGUUAGUGGCGGAUGGGUGAGUAACGCGUGGACAACCUACCUUGUAAAGGGGAAUAACCUCGAGAAAUCGAAGCUAAUACCCCAUAAUAACCUUGCUUCGCAUGAAGUAAGGAGGAAAGGCGGCCUUAGCGCUGUCGAUACAAGAUGGGUCCGCGUCUGAUUAGCUAGUUGGUGAGGUAAAGGCUCACCAAGGCGACGAUCAGUAGCCGGCCUGAGAGGGUGAACGGCCACAUUGGGACUGAGACACGGCCCAAACUCCUACGGGAGGCAGCAGUGGGGAAUCUUCCGCAAUGGGCGAAAGCCUGACGGAGCAAUGCCGCGUGAGUGAAGAAGGCCUUCGGGUUGUAAAACUCUGUCCUUAUCGAAGAGAGAGUGUUGUAGUAACUGACAAUACUAGGACGGUAGAUGAGGAGGAAGCCCCGGCUAACUAUGUG